CCAGUUUGCGCUGCUUAAGAGCGUCUCGCUCUCCGUCGGCCCCUGAGGGUCGCGAAACUCAGCCCUCCUCAGGUACGACUCACUACAGAAAACAGUAAGACUUGGAGGCAGCGCUAUGGCAACAGCAGAGCCCGGCAUUAAGAUUCCGGUGGCGUUCCGAUCGCGAGCACACUAGUCACAGGUUUCUCGGGGAAUCUCCUCCAGGCUGCGCUUCCAAGGUCUUUCUGCAGUGACGGGACCACACCUGCAGCACGUACGUCACAGAUACUGUAAAUACAACAGAGAUAACAGGUGGAGGUCGGGCGUGGCUGUUCCUGGUCGAAGCCUUGGAGGCAAAAUCUCUCUAAUGCACUUAGAAUCUGGCACAUACACCUUCCUCCCACUCAGGAAGUCCUGAUGGGGCAGAGAGCACUCACUGCAAAGAAGACAGAGGGGAGAGAGAGAGAAUCCACCGGAGCAUAAACCCCCUGGAGACUGACAGUACAGUGCUUGUAUCUGUGAUGAGGGUGUGUAUGCGUGUGUGCGUGUGUGGGUGUAUUUCAGAGAGGAAAGGACAUGUGGCAGAUUUAAGAGCACUUGUGUGCAGCACGAAGGUGUUUUCCGCCAAGUUGGGAAAUUUUUUUUUUGUCAAAACACGGGCUGAUUGCCAUGGUUAUAAUUACGCUAAUGGCUUCAUUACGGGCAUUAAUUCAGCCCUCAUCAGUCUUUUGCCAGUGAUUAGUUCAAAGUGGAGGAGAGGUGAAACAUAGAGUUCUCAAAAGAAAAUGAUUUUCCUAAACAGGCAGAAUCUACCGGAUCAAGAUGUCCUCCCACAAUCCCUCAUGGUUUUGUAACACACAGAGACUCCGGCCAAUAUCAUCAGAUGGAGUUUGUCAGAUGGAAACUGAUAUAAUCCUGAUUUACUGUUAUGACACCAACUGAAGAUGCACUCGAAAGAAGAAUUCUUCGGCUGAACUUAAUUCAAUUGUGGACAGCACUUCCACACGUUGGAAAUGGGUUUUCCUGACAUUAAAUUAAACUGUGAACCUUGUGAAGUGGAAACCUAACAGAAUAGAAUAAAUGCAAUAAAAUUAGACAUAUCAAAUUAGACCAACCAAGGAUUUGGUAUUUACAUCAGACUUCAUGGAUUUUUAUUAUCGGGUAACUAUGAGAUCAGAUUUCCAUGAAGAGGAUACUAGCUGAUAUCUGGA
Cyprinus carpio carpio is the source of this 1190-nucleotide long non-coding RNA. NCBI's taxonomy places the organism in Eukaryota, Metazoa, Chordata, Actinopteri, Cypriniformes, Cyprinidae. The record is from Ensembl.